Molecule: ribosomal RNA, 254 nt
Filed under: uncultured bacterium
Lineage: Bacteria
Description: partial 16S ribosomal RNA
Rfam family: Bacterial small subunit ribosomal RNA
Source: RNAcentral
UACGGAGGGGGCUAGCGUUGUUCGGAAUCACUGGGCUUAAAGCGCGUGUAGGCGGGCCGGCACGUCGAUGGCUGAAAUCCCCCGGCUCAACUGGGGAGGGUCACGCGAUACUGUUCGACUCGAAGGCAGGAGAGGGAAGUGGAAUUCCCGGUGUAGUGGUGAAAUGCGUAGAUAUCGGGAGGAACACCAGUGGCGAAGGCGACUUCCUGGCCUGUUCUUGACGCUGAGGCGCGAAAGCUAGGGUAGCGAACGGG